This 207-nucleotide ribosomal RNA is filed under the name uncultured bacterium. Its description in RNAcentral is "partial 16S ribosomal RNA". It matches the Rfam family "Bacterial small subunit ribosomal RNA", at positions 568 to 774 of the family's 1533-position model. The record is from RNAcentral.
CGCGUAGGUGGGCUGGUAAGUCAGACGUGAAAGCCCGGAGCUCAACUCCGGAACUGCAUUUGAAACUACUAGCCUUGAGGAUAGGCGGAGAAGACGGAAUUCCACGUGUAGCGGUGAAAUGCGUAGAUAUGUGGAAGAACACCGGUGGCGAAGGCGGUCUUCUAGCUUACUCCUGACACUGAGGCGCGAAAGCAAGGGGAGCGAACA